Molecule: unclassified non-coding RNA, 963 nt
Filed under: Zea mays
Lineage: Eukaryota; Viridiplantae; Streptophyta; Magnoliopsida; Poales; Poaceae
Description: misc RNA Zm00001eb111530
Source: RNAcentral
AACAGAUCAUGCAUCAUACAGCAGUCAGCAGAGCAGGCACGUCGCGAUCGCUGAAGAAGCAGCAGCAGCUAGAGUAGAGCUAAUCUGCCACGACACACGACUCGUGCUCAUGCAUGCAGCGGCGCAGGAGGUGGAGGUGCAUCCACGCGCGGCGGAACGCGGCGACGAUUGCGCGGUGGUGGUCGGCGGCGUUGAGCGCGAGGUAGCAGGCGAGGAGCUCCUCCAGGCCCCGCGGCGACCGCACGCCGUUGGCCGUGGCCAUCUCCGCCAUGCUCUCCAGGAAGUCCUCCUCGGGGUCCGCCGACUCCACCACCACCACCAGGCCCUCGUACGCCUGCCGGAGCCCGCUGGCACGCCGCGUGCAGGCCUCCUCCUCCGCCUUGUUCCGCCUGCGGCGGUCCGGCGUGGCGGCGUGGUGGAACCCUGGGGGUGGGCGCACCCUGCCCGUGGGAGACACGGCCGCGCCGCCGCCGCCGUCGGGCCUGGGAGGCGGCCUCGUGAGGAUGGGCCGUAGCUUGAGCUCCGGCGCCGGGCUGGAGCGGGCGACGACGUCGAAGACAUUGUCGCUCGCCUGCGGGCUGCGCGGGAACUGCGUGUCCCGGAGCUUGGGGUUGUUGUCCGGGCGGCGCGGGACGGCGCGGUCCCGGCUCGGCACGUAGUAGGACGCCCUGUUCGGCGAGCAGGGUGGUGGCGGCGGGGGUUCGGCGGCGGCGGCGUUCGCGAUCGCCCCUGCCCCGGCUCUCUUGCGCCGCAGCCUGUGGAAGUGGAACCAGGAGUUCAUCCUCCACUAACUGAAACCGCCAGUGGCAGUGGCAGCGCCAGCGACUACAGCCUUGACUAGCAGUGACUAGCGCGCUUUUUAUGGCGGAAAAGUUUGCCGCCGUCUUUGCCUGCAUGUUUGCUAUGUUGGUUGAUAGUAAUGAUAAUUACACUGUAAUUUUCACUGCUCCAAUUACACUGUAG